RNAcentral lists this long non-coding RNA (224 nucleotides) under Elaeis guineensis (African oil palm). Its description in RNAcentral is "long non-coding RNA (EGUI_LNC080594)". Lineage: Eukaryota; Viridiplantae; Streptophyta; Magnoliopsida; Arecales; Arecaceae. The record is from RNAcentral.
AAACCUACAGCUAAAUGAGUUGUCAGGUAGAAAAAAGUUUGAAUUUUGAAGUGCCAUUUUUUGGAUUAUUAUUGGUUUGAGGAAGUUUAAAUAUACUCAUUUCACUGACCAUGCAAUCCCAGGACUUAUCAUUGAAAUUUUCAGGGAGUUUUGUUUCCUUUCUCUCAGCAUGGUAUGGCCUGGAUCUCAGAAUUUAUUCAUCAAGAAUUAAGAAUGUGAAUCUU